CCUACGGGAGGCAGCAGUGAGGAAUAUUGGUCAAUGGACGCAAGUCUGAACCAGCCAUGCCGCGUGCAGGAAGACGGCUCUAUGAGUUGUAAACUGCUUUUGUACGAGGGUAAACGCAGAUACGCGUAUCUGUCUGAAAGUAUCGUACGAAUAAGGAUCGGCUAACUCCGUGCCAGCAGCCGCGGUAAUACGGAGGAUUCAAGCGUUAUCCGGAUUUAUUGGGUUUAAAGGGUGCGUAGGCGGUCGGAUAAGUUAGAGGUGAAAUCCCGAGGCUCAACUUCGGAAUUGCCUCUGAUACUGUUCGGCUGGAGAGUAGUUGCGGUAGGCGGAAUGUAUGGUGUAGCGGUGAAAUGCUUAGAGAUCAUACAGAACACCGAUUGCGAAGGCAGCUUACCAAGCUACUUCUGACGUUGAGGCACGAAAGCGUGGGGAGCAAACAGGAUUAGAUACCCGGGUAGUC
Molecule: ribosomal RNA, 460 nt
Filed under: uncultured bacterium
Lineage: Bacteria
Description: partial 16S ribosomal RNA
Rfam family: Bacterial small subunit ribosomal RNA
Source: RNAcentral